GAGGGUAUAGCUCAGUGAUAGAGCGCAUGCCCAGCAUGCAUGAGGUCCUGGGUUCAAUCCCCAGUACCUCCA
Molecule: transfer RNA, 72 nt
Organism: Camelus ferus (Wild Bactrian camel)
Lineage: Eukaryota; Metazoa; Chordata; Mammalia; Artiodactyla; Camelidae
Rfam family: tRNA
About the family: Transfer RNA (tRNA) molecules are approximately 80 nucleotides in length. Their secondary structure includes four short double-helical elements and three loops (D, anti-codon, and T loops).
Source: Rfam